Drosophila takahashii is the source of this 145-nucleotide non-coding RNA. The record is from RefSeq and is a predicted model, not a curated record. NCBI's taxonomy places the organism in Eukaryota, Metazoa, Arthropoda, Insecta, Diptera, Drosophilidae.
UUCGGAUAUGAACCUUAAUUGAUGUGAAAAUGCUGAGAAUACCGUCCAAUUCGCACAUACGGUCAUAUCCUAGAACAAAGAACUCAGGAACUCUGUGCAAUGGCAUUGAAGCUUGUGACAUUGCAUCGUUCUUCCUGCGACAUUU